AUCCAACUGACGAGUCGCAAAUAGGACGAAAUGAGCAUCAUGAAU
Molecule: non-coding RNA, 45 nt
Filed under: Trichobilharzia regenti
Lineage: Eukaryota; Metazoa; Platyhelminthes; Trematoda; Strigeidida; Schistosomatidae
Source: RNAcentral